This 368-nucleotide ribosomal RNA is filed under the name uncultured prokaryote. RNAcentral's name for it is "bacterial SSU rRNA". It matches the Rfam family "Bacterial small subunit ribosomal RNA", at positions 415 to 774 of the family's 1533-position model. The record is from RNAcentral.
CCUACGGGUCGUAAAGCCCUGUCAGGUGGGAAGAAUGUCCCGGGACUGAACAGGUUCCGGGAGUGACGGUACCACCAGAGGAAGCACCGGCUAACUCCGUGCCAGCAGCCGCGGUAAUACGGAGGGUGCGAGCGUUAUUCGGAAUUACUGGGCGUAAAGCGCGUGUAGGCGGUCCCGCAAGUCUGAUGUGAAAGCCCCGGGCUUAACCCGGGAAGUGCAUUGGAAACUGUGGGACUUGAGUACUGGAGAGGAUGGGGGAAUUCCCGGUGUAGAGGUGAAAGUCGUAGAGAGCGGGAGGAAUAUCAGUGGCGAAGGCGCCCAUCUGGACGGUAACUGACGCUGAGACGCGAAAGCGUGGGGAGCAAACA